RNAcentral lists this ribosomal RNA (498 nucleotides) under uncultured bacterium. RNAcentral's name for it is "partial 16S ribosomal RNA". It matches the Rfam family "Bacterial small subunit ribosomal RNA", at positions 29 to 523 of the family's 1533-position model. The record is from RNAcentral.
AUUGAACGCUGGCGGCAUGCCUUACACAUGCAAGUCGAACGGUAACGCGGGGCAACCUGGCGACGAGUGGCGAACGGGUGAGUAAAGCAUCGGAACGUGCCCAGUAGUGGGGGAUAGCCCGGCGAAAGCCGGAUUAAUACCGCAUACGACCUAUGGGUGAAAGGGGGGGAUCGCAAGACCUCUCGCUAUUGGAGCGGCCGAUGUCAGAUUAGGUAGUUGGUGGGGUAAAGGCCUACCAAGCCGACGAUCUGUAGCUGGUCUGAGAGGACGACCCGGCACACUGGGACUGAGACACGGCCCAGACUCGUACGGGAGGCAGCAGUGGGGAAUUUUGGACAAUGGGCGCAAGCCUGAUCCAGCCAUGCCGCGUGCGGGAAGAAGGCCUUCGGGUUGUAAACCGCUUUUGUCAGGGAAGAAGUCCUUUGGGUUAAUACCUCGGGGGGAUGACGGUACCUGAAGAAUAAGCACCGGCUAACUACGUGCCAGCCGCCGCAGUAA